Molecule: unclassified non-coding RNA, 61 nt
Filed under: Thermobifida fusca
Lineage: Bacteria; Bacillati; Actinomycetota; Actinomycetes; Streptosporangiales; Nocardiopsidaceae
Also listed under: 1 other name
Description: crRNA from Thermobifida fusca (PDB 6C66, chain J)
Source: RNAcentral
AUGGACCGCCAGUGAUAAGUGGAAUGCCAUGUGGGCUGUCGUGAGCCCCACGCACGUGGGG